Molecule: long non-coding RNA, 2130 nt
Filed under: Mustela putorius furo (domestic ferret)
Lineage: Eukaryota; Metazoa; Chordata; Mammalia; Carnivora; Mustelidae
Description: lncRNA (ENSMPUG00000029183.1)
Source: RNAcentral
NNNNNNNNNNNNNNNNNNNNNNNNNNNNNNNNNNNNNNNNNNNNNNNNNNNNNNNNNNNNNNNNNNAAAUAUACCAAAAAACACCUGGGCCUGAGGAUGGCUCACCUGAAAUAUACCAAGAAACACCUGCGCCUGAGGAAGGCUCACCUGAAAUAUACCAAGAAACACCUAGGCCUGAGGAAGGCUCACCUGAAAUAUGCCAAGAAACACCUGGGCCUGAAGACUAUUCAUCUGAAAUAUACCAAGAAACACCUGGGCCUGAAGAUCUUUCUACUAAGGCAUAUAAAAAUAAGGAUCUGCCCAAAGAAUGCUUUCCAGAACCACAUCAAGAAACAGGUGGGCCCCAAGGCCAGGAUCCUAAAGCACACCAGGAGGAUGCUAAGGAUGUUUAUACUUUUCCUCGAGAAAUGAGAGAAAAACCCAAAGCAGAAGAACCAGAGAUACCAGCAAUUGCAAAUGUUCCUCAAGAAAUUCAUCCAGAAAAUGACGUCUUUAGUUAUGUUUUGUUUUAACAAUGCUCAACCGUCAAUAGUUGUCCAACAAAAUACACAUCUUAAUAUAUUACGUGUGUGAUUUUUUCAAAACACUGUAGAUCUCUACAAUACUCAUUAAUAUUUUUACAUUUUCUUUUUCUCAUGUAUAGACUCUGAGAGAAUGAAGGUAUUUUUUUCAGGCCCUGUUAUAUAGAUGAUAUCCUGCUAGUGUUUGCGUGUGUGUGUGUGCAUGUGUGUGUGUGUGUGUAUACAUAUAUGCAUAUUGGGGUGAGGAUAGUGGUGGGGGAGAGAGAGAAAUGUGAAAGGAAUGGCUGAGUAAUUGAUCACCCAUCAAGAACCUUUAAUUCUAUAUUUUAUUUAUUUUUUCCUUGGUUAAUUCUUAAAAGUAGAGAAACUAUUGUUUGAACACUUAAAAUCUGGGGGAGUAAUAGUUUUCUUGUAAACUUUGUUCACUUAUCCAUGUAACAAUAGCAUCAACAUUUUAUUCAGACUUUGGUAGUCUAAAAAGUUAAUUUUAACAAUUAUUCUGGGACUCCUUCCAAGAUAUUUUGAGGAGAUGAGUGAUCAACGCAGUUUCCUGGAGUGUUUGAAUUUUGAUUUUCUUUUUCCUUUUUAAAUAUUGUAUUUGUGCAAAAUGUACAUUAAAUCUUUAUUACAUGUUUCACCGUUUGGACAGCAUCCUGAUAAGCGCCGCGAGGAUUAGAACACCUAUAACACAUAGUCCUUACCCUCCAGGGGUUUAAUCUUGUCUCGUGGGGGGAAUAAAACAGAACACAAAUAACAGUAAUGCUAGUGUUGUUUGAAGAGUAGACACAAUAGAGGAAACACUCACUUUUUUUUUUUUGCUGGAGUGACCUGAAAAAAAUCACAUCUUCGAGGAGUCUUGAAAGGUGGAAAAGAUUUGUACUGUAGGCGAGGAUUGUGGCCUCACUGUAUGUGACACAGAGAAGGAUGAAUUCAGCAUAUAUUCAAGGGAACUGCAUACAAACUACAGUUAAUGCACGGUCUGUGUGGAACAGCAGGCUAAUAGGCUGAAAGUCUCAUAUCAGAGUGGACAGAAUUUUGCACACCUAAGAAGUAUGUGUUAGGUAAUGUGGAACAAAGUAAGACUUGAACAAUGCGGUUUUAGUAUUUUAAGACUUUCUAUCUUGUAAUGGUCAGGGUUAGCUGAAAAUUAUAAGAGACUGGGGGCAUGAAUAGGAAUUAUUUUGUGGGGGAAGAUAUCUGAACGCCCCCCCCCCCAGUAUUUUGGCGGGGGCGCUGUUUGCAGUUUUCCAUCUGUUAUUACAGAAGACUCAAAGGAAGGGGAUUUUUGCAGGUAAGGGUUUAGUUCAGCAAGGAUGCGAUUAUAUAAGCUCCCCAUAUAGGUAUAGAGGCACUGUGCUAAAUGCUAAGCUAGACAGCUAAGAACAAGACAGAAUCCCAGUCUCAUAAGCAUCACAGUGUAGAAAGAGCUUCUCAACCCUCAGGGUCCAUCAGAACCACUGGGGAAGAUUUCCAAAUCACAGCUGUCAAGACACCUCCCCAAGGAUUCUGAUUUACCUGUCUAGGAUGGGAUCCAGGCAUAGAUACAUUAAUUGUUAAGUAGGUUUUUUUUUGUUUUAAAUAUUGUUUGAGAAAUAAUUUUAGAAAUUAC